RNAcentral lists this ribosomal RNA (306 nucleotides) under Triticum aestivum (bread wheat). Its description in RNAcentral is "partial small subunit ribosomal RNA". Lineage: Eukaryota; Viridiplantae; Streptophyta; Magnoliopsida; Poales; Poaceae. The record is from RNAcentral.
AUGCUCCUCAAGCUGCUAAGGACGCUGCUAAGCUUGCUGAUGAGACUGCGGAUCAUGCUUAUGAGCAGCAGGAGCAUGCUCUUCAGCAGGGUGACUCCAUUGUUGAUGAUUCCUACGCAUAGAGUUCUGCUAUCUAGCGCCGGCUUGACUCUCUUCACUGCUGGUUGUCCUACUUGCCAGUGUUGCCAGGCUGUGUGGCCAGACUUGGAGUUUCAUCGUGUCUACGAGUUCUUGUCUCAACUUCAUAAGGAGUUUGAGCCAUGGCGGUGGCAUGCUGAGUUGUUUGCUCGUGGCUGUAUUUCAUGA